Molecule: long non-coding RNA, 356 nt
Organism: Patella vulgata (common limpet)
Lineage: Eukaryota; Metazoa; Mollusca; Gastropoda; Patellidae
Exons: 4
Source: RefSeq, a predicted model, not a curated record
AUAGAAGUACGUUGUGUUUGUUUUACACAGUGAGUAAGCGGGUUUGGUUGACCUAGUCAGGUCGUCAUCACGUUUAUAAAUCGACUGAUUUUAAAGUAUUGUCAUUUGUCAACAAGAGUUGUAGAGAAGUUUGAAGAUUGUCAAAUCGUGGAUAAUAACAAGUUAAUAGAAUGGUGUUAAAGAUACACGUUGUCUACUGUGGAGCAUGAGGCUACGCCCCCAAGUACAGGGCCAUUAAAACGGCACUGGAAAAAGAAUUCCCAGGACAAUUAGAAAUCACUGGCGAAGGUACUCCACAGAGUACCGGCUGGUUAGAGGUUCAGAUUGUUGGGGGCAAAUUACUUCACUCCAAGAAG